RNAcentral lists this transfer RNA (74 nucleotides) under Sphaerodactylus townsendi. RNAcentral describes it as "tRNA-Ala". The record is from RNAcentral. Lineage: Eukaryota; Metazoa; Chordata; Lepidosauria; Squamata; Sphaerodactylidae.
GGAGGGACGUUGCUCAGAGGGAGAACAGCUGCUUGGCACACAGGAGGUUCUGGGUUCAGUCCCCAGUGUUUCCA